GAUAAAAUUUGCAUAUGUUUAGGUUGUACAAUGUGGUUUUUUAAAGGUGUGCAACAUGAUUUAAUAUACAUUGUGAAACGAUUAUCACAAUCACGUUAGUUAACACAUCCAUCACCUCACAUAGUUACUUUUCCAAUGGAUUUUUGAGAUUUUCUAUAUAUAAGAUCAUGUCGUCUGCACACAGCAAGAGUUUCACUUCUUCACUCCCUAUUGGAUUCCUUUUAUUCCUUUCUCUUGCUUAAUUGCUCUGGCUAAAACCUCCAGUACUAUGUUGAAUAAGAGUGGUGAUAGUGGGCAUCCUUGUCUCAUUCCUGUUCUCAGGGAGAUGGUGCUCAGUUUUUGCCCAUUGAAUAUGAUGUUGGCUGUGGGUUUGUCAUAUAUGGCCUUUAUUAUGUUGAGGUAAUUUCCUUCUAUCCCCAUUUUGUUCAGAGUUUUUAUCGUAAAUGGCUGUUGGAUCUUGUCAAAUGCUUUCUCUGCAUCUAUUGAGAUGAUCAUCACAUAGUUUUUAUGUGUAUAGUGAGAACACUUAAAAUUUUAGCAAAUUUCAAGUAUAUAAUACAGUAUUACUAGCAAUAAUCACCACACUGUCCAUUAGAUUGGGGACCUUUUUAAAAUCCUAUGCCCUAGACCGUUAAAUCAGAAUCUCUGAGAGGGGGGCCCAGGCUUCAGUAACAGCACAGGUAAUUACAACAUGCAGCCAAGUUUGAGAACCACUGUUUUAGAUGAUGUAUCACCCUACUCUUCCUCAGUGGGAUUGCUUGUGAUUGUGUUUUCCCCAUACUCCUUCCUGCAAUUGAGGUUGAUUAAAAGGAAUUAGGUAUUGAGUGUUUGGGAAGUAAAUAAUGGUGUUAUUUGGGAAGAUUGGGUAGGUACAGGGGAAGAAUCUUGUGUGACUAAAAUGUUGUAGGUCCUAGGGAGAUGGUGGCAGUAGCAACUUAGUGUUUGAAUUUCCAUGAAUCGCCACACAAAAAUGAGCAGGAAAACUAGAUAGCAAAACGAAAAACCCACAUACAAUUUUUCCAGCAAAACUAAGUGACAAGGUGCUGCAGCCAAAAUGUGUGCAUAUUUGCAUCUCUACAGGAGGAGGCAAAGGGAGGCAAAAGUUGUCUUAAUAGACCUGAGAACAGGACAACUCCAAAAUAGCCAGCAGAUCUCUGGAAAGCACAGAAGAUCAAUUGGAGAUUAGCAUGUGAAACUGGAAGGGGUUUUGCACAAUUCACAGGGAGUGAGUGCAAGGCACAUUCAGAUCUGAAGCAGUCUAACCCCUAUGAACUCUUGAAACUGACUGGUCAUAGCUCCCUUCCAAAAUAGGGCAACAACACACUGCUUGGAGAUGUAUCAAAAUUGAGCAGGAUACAAAGGCUCUGAUGUCAAGACUGUCAAAUUUUGAUUCCUGACUCCACUAAUGACUAAUUUGUGCCUUUGGACAAAUUUCUUAACUGCUCUGUACCCCAGUUUCUCAUCUGUAUAAUGGGGAUAAUAAUAUCUACUUUAUGGGAUUAUUGUGAAAUGAGGUAAUGCACAUGGUGAUGCAUGUGAUCAUGAUCUAUCAGUUUCUUAACAUCAUUAUGAGAAGAAAAAAAGAAAACCAAGAGGGGACAAUAAAGACAAAGGAAAGAGAGGGUGCAGAUAAAAGUGGGGAAGUUUAGCAAAGUCAGAAAACAUCAGAAAGCAAACUGACAUAUUUUUUAAGUUAUAAAAAAACAGAAAAAAGAGAACUUUGUGAAGUUAGAAAAGCUAUUCUGAACCAUGCUUCCUAAAUACUUAGGAGAACUAAUUUUAUAGAAAUAUAAGCAACAGAAAAAUACCAUGAUCAAAUCCCAUAUAAACUGAUUAUGAGGGAGACAGAGUGGGAGAGAGAUUAAGGAGUGGAAUAGUACAGAAAAUAAAAGCACACUAGUAUAACAUGCUUACAAAAUAGAUCAAAACUAUUAACCUACUGUUUCAAAACAGGCUAAAUGAAAUUAAAGAAAUAAUUCAGGAUGCAAAAGAACAACAUAAAUUAGAGCUAUAUAAACUCAGAAAUGAAGUGACAAAACUUAGGGAAGAAACAAAUUUUUAAAAAGUUUCAGAACUGAAGACUAAACAGAAGACACAAGUGUGAAUAAACACAAAAAUAAUGCCUUAAACAGAGGGUGAAAAUGAGGAUAUUUUAAGAAUAAAGAAAGGAAAUGGUGGUAAAUAUUGAAGAGAAAGUGCCAUAUAUUGAAGAUAGGGAAAGAAGGUCCAACCUACGGAUUGUAAGAGCUCCUAAAGAAGAAAGUAAAGCACAGGACCAAAACAAAUACCAAACAUGACAAUUCAAGGAAACAUUCCUGAAAGUACAAUUUUUAAAAAUGAUUUGAAACUAGGAGUACACUGUGUACCUGGGGAUAUGAGUUGACAAACACCAAGACAAAACAUUCUAGUAGAUUACGAAACCAUUCUAAAAACAGAAAAAAUCCCUUGGCCAUCUAAGAAAAAAGACCAAGUGACUUACAAGGAAAAGAAUUUAGAUUAUUAUCAGACUUGUUGACAUAUGCUUUAUGCCAGAAGAAAAUAGAAUAAUAUAUUUGAGAUACUCAAGGAAAGAAGGUGUGGACCAAAGAUUUUAUGCUCAGUAAAAGUGAUCUUCAAGUAUGAAGAGCACAAACUGCUAUCAACAUAUGAGUAGUCAAGGAGUAUUGUUGCUGUGGGCCCUUCUGAGGAAUUUCCUAGAGAAUGAGAUUCAUAAGGACUGGUUGUAAGCAUUAAAUGUAUGGUUAUUUGUAGAGCUAGGAAUAAAUAAGGAUUACAACAGAGGAAGUAAAGUAUGUAAUGGCCGUAUGCACUGACAGUGUGGAUAUAGUACAACUGAAAAAAAGGGAAAUGGAUAAUGCAUAUGCAAAAUUUAAAAAUAUUUUUAGUAAUGAUAUCAUUAGUGGUAUCUGAGACUGUAUGUAAUGUGGGAUAAAACAAAUGAGUAAUUAUGGGAUAUUUCAGUUUUAUCAUAAUCUGUAUCCUUGAGACCAGGAUUCUCGGAGUGGAAGAAAGCAAAUACAGAUAUAAAAUAGAAGCGGGUGAGUAAACUUGUAGUUCUCAUUUUGUAUUAAGGACAUACACACAGACACAUACCUCCUCUGCUCAGAUUAUGGUCCUGAAAUACUAUAACACAAUUUCCCAGUGAAAGAAACUAAGCCUUCUUGGAGAAAUAGUUGAUUCUAGGUCUGGUGCAGAAAUUAUACAAGAUGAACCUGGAAUGUCUUUUAUACCAGGUAGCAAAGAAUCUUUAAAGACAAUUAGUCAUAACAAAGAACACAGUGGCUAACUUGAAGAGGCUCCCACUGGCCAAAAAUAAGAUAAUUUGAGCUUCAGUAUAGGUAUGCAUUGAAAUCCAAAUAUGAUUAAAUCCUUCAGUUCUUAAUGUUUACCUUUGGAGGAUUAUAGGGAGUAAAUUCAUUUUCUUGAAAACUAGCAAAUAAAGGGAUUAAACCACUAGAGAGCAAAAGAAUAGAUGAAGAGAGGCAUCUCUUACUAAAGUAUUCCUGCUAAUAAGUGAAAAAACAAAUGAUAGAAUAUCUACACUUUGCAAUCUUCAAUGAAUUAAUGGAUCUAGGCAUUGAAUACCAUGUACUACUAAUAUCACAAAGGCAACCAGAUGUUUUUUCCUCUUUAUGAAAGAAUACAAAUCACCUAUGGUUUUAACCAAAGUGAUAAAAUAAUCUUGAGUUUGUUCAAGUCUCUGGAUUGAGUUGCCAACUUGCAACUCAAAAUACAAAGGUCAGAGAAAAAAGUUAAACUGCACUACAAGUUGGAAUCAGCAAAAUCCAUAUUGUGGAAAAGCCUAGAGGCCGAAUGUCCUGGAUAAGAAAAAGAAAAGGAUAAAGGGAAAUCUUCAGAUUAAAAGGACAUAGGAGGUUUCUUAAAAAGGGGCAAGACUAACAAAAUGAAAAGACAACCCACCAACCGGAAGAAAAUAUUUGCAAUCAUAUAUCCGACAAGGGGUUAAUUUCCAAAAUAUAUAAAGAACUCAUACAACUCAACAGAAACAAAACAAACAACUGGAUCAAAAAAUGGGCUGAGGAUAUGAGCAUUUUUCCAAAGAAGAUAUGCAGAUGGCCAACAGGCACAUUAAAAGAUGUUCAACAUCACUAAUUAUUAGGGAAAUGGAAAUGAAAACUACAAUGAGAUAUCACCUUACACCUGUCAGAAUGGCUAUAAUUACCAAGACAAAAAAAUAAUAAACGUUGGAGAGAUUGUGGAGAAAAGGGAACCCUCAUUUACUGCUGGUGGGAAUGCAAACUGGUGCAGUCAUUAUGGAAAACGGUAUGGAGAUUUCUCAAAAAAUUAAAUAGAAAUACCAUACGAUCCAGCUAUCUCACUGGCUGUUUAUCCCAAGAACUUGAAAUCAACAAUUCGAAGAGAUUUAUGCACCCCUAUGUUUUUUGGAGCAUUGUUCACAAUAGCCAAGAUAUGGAAGCAACCCAAGUGCCUUUCAACUGUGAAUGGAUAAAGAAGAUGUGGUGUGUGUGUGUAUAUAUAUAUAUAUAUAUACACACAAUGGAAUACUACUCAGCCAUAAAAAAAAAACAAAAGUGUCCCAUUUGCAACAACAUGGAUAGACCUCAAGGGUAUGAUGUUAAGCAAAGUAAGCCAGGCAGAGAAAGACAAACACCAUAUGAUUUCACUCAUAUGUGGAAGAGAAACAAACACAUGGAUAAAGAGAACAGAUCAGUGUUUACCAGAGGGGAAGGAGGUUGAGGGAGUGGUCGAAAGGGGUAAAGGGGCACAUAUGUAUGGUGACGGAUAAAAAUUAGACUAUUGAUGGUGAGCACGAAGCAAUCUAUACAGAAACUGAUAAAUAAUAAAGUGCACCUGAAAUUACACAAUGUUACGAACCAUUAUGACCUCAAUAAAAUAACUUGGAAAAAAAUGGACAAGACUAAACUAUGUUGUCUAGGGAUGCACAGUGGGUAUUAAAACUAAAACUAAAAGAAAUGCAAGGAAAUGAUUGUAAUAAAUGCCAGAAUAGUGUUACUUUUUGGGGCAGGGAGGAGAUUGUGAUUAGAAUUGGGCAUACUGAGGGCCUUUUUGGGUGGCUGGCAAAGUAUUUCCUGACCUGAGUGCUAUUACAACAGUUUCCCUCUUAUUAAUAAUUUAUUGUUAUCCAUUGCUAUAGUUGGUUUUCUGUAUCUAUAUUUUAUUUUACAGUUGAAAAAAAAGGCUUUUCUAAUCAUUGAGAGGCACCUAGUGAUGAAAUUUGAGCCAUUUCCUAUAAUGAUGAUUGUUUUCAGCCCAUGUUAUUGCUUAUUAUUAAUCUAUAUUUUAUCUUCCUUGGAGAAUAUGGGGUCAGCAAAACUACCACUACCUGUGCAGAAAGAAACACAUCAGUUACUCAGCUGUAAUUUCUCCUUUUUCCAAAGAGUUUUCAAAUUGAACCAUCCACAAGAUCUGAUACUUCUUUGUUCAGCACAUUCAUUCCCCUUUUCCUUUCUCCUUCUGUUCUUGUUGGUAUGGCCAAUGGAAUGUUAGCAAAUGUAAUAUGAGCAGAGGUCUUAAAUGUGUGUGUGGUUUGGCUUGACUCUUGUUUAAUUAUGAUUUGUCACGUGGAGAGAAUGCACCAGUAGCUGCUGCUCCUUCGGGGGCACGCCCUUGCUCCUUGCUCAUCAGGUGGCUGGCUGAAGAGACUCCAGUGAAAAGUCUCCAGAAAGGAGACAGUGGAGCUACUGACUGGAAGAAGGCUCGAGUCCCUGAAUGAAGCAGCGUUCUUUUCCCUAUCAGAGUCCCUGGAUUGUGACCUGAAUUAAAAAUGUCUUGGAUUGUGUUAAGCCCCUGAGAUUUUUGGGUUUAUUACAACACCUAGCAUUACCCUGACUGAUGCACCUGCUCAGACCCACUAUGUUAGCCACUAGCCACAUGUGGUAAGUGAGCACUUGCAUUGUGGCUAGUCAGAAUUGAGAUGUGUUCUAAGUAUAAAGUAAACAUUGGAUUUCAAAGAUUUAGUACAAAAAGUGUCAAAUAUUAAUAUUUUUAUAUUAAUGAUUAUUUUGGAUAUAUGAG
This is a long non-coding RNA of Equus caballus (horse), 6018 nucleotides long. The record is from Ensembl. Lineage: Eukaryota; Metazoa; Chordata; Mammalia; Perissodactyla; Equidae.